This 273-nucleotide ribosomal RNA is filed under the name uncultured bacterium. RNAcentral's name for it is "partial 16S ribosomal RNA". It matches the Rfam family "Bacterial small subunit ribosomal RNA", at positions 85 to 354 of the family's 1533-position model. The record is from RNAcentral.
CCGCCGGCGACCGGCGCACGGGUGAGUAACACGUAUGCAACCUGGCCGUGACAGAUGGAUAACCGGGAGAAAUCCCGCCUAAUACAACAUAAUGCCGGGAGGGGACAUCCCCUGCCGGCCAAAGGGGGCGACCCCGGUCACGGAUGGGCAUGCGGCGCAUUAGGUAGUUGGUGGGGCAACGGCCCACCAAGCCGACGAUGCGUAGGGGUUCUGAGAGGAAGGUCCCCCACAUUGGAACUGGGACACGGUCCAAACUCCUACGGGAGGCAGCAG